GACGAACGCUGGCGGCGUGCUUAACACAUGCAAGUCGAGCGGUAAGGCCCUUUCGGGGUACGACGAGCGGCGAACGGGUAGGAGUAACAACGUGGGUGACCUCGCCCUCCAGCGUCUGGGAGUAAGACCUGGGAAACCGGGGUACGUAAUACCGGAUAUGACUCCAUGACGCAUGUUGUGGGGUGGGAAAGCCUUGUGCGGCUGAGGAUGGGCCCGCGGCCUAUCAGCUUGUUGGUGGGGUGAUGGCCUACCAAGGCGACGACGGGUAGCCGG
Molecule: ribosomal RNA, 273 nt
Filed under: uncultured bacterium
Lineage: Bacteria
Description: partial 16S ribosomal RNA
Rfam family: Bacterial small subunit ribosomal RNA
Source: RNAcentral